UACGGAGGGAGCUAGCGUUGUUCGGAAUUACUGGGCGUAAAGCGCGCGUAGGCGGCUUUGUAAGUUAGAGGUGAAAGCCCGGGGCUCAACCCCGGAAUUGCCUUUAAGACUGCAUCGCUAGAAUCCAGGAGAGGUGAGUGGAAUUCCGAGUGUAGAGGUGAAAUUCGUAGAUAUUCGGAAGAACACCAGUGGCGAAGGCGGCUCACUGGAUUGGUAUUGACGCUGAGGUGCGAAAGCGUGGGGAGCAAACAGG
RNAcentral lists this ribosomal RNA (253 nucleotides) under uncultured bacterium. RNAcentral describes it as "partial 16S ribosomal RNA". It matches the Rfam family "Bacterial small subunit ribosomal RNA", at positions 524 to 776 of the family's 1533-position model. The record is from RNAcentral.